UUGACAGACCAGUGGCGUAGCCAGAACGAUAAUUGGGGGGCCCAUAUUCAUAUAUUCGUGUUCACAUACCAUAAAAACAAUUGAUUUCAAAAGAAAUUGAUAAAGCAGAACACGAAUAUAUGAAUAUGGGCCCCCCAAUUAUCGUUCUGGCUACGCCACUGUGACAA
Molecule: non-coding RNA, 167 nt
Organism: Paramuricea clavata
Lineage: Eukaryota; Metazoa; Cnidaria; Anthozoa; Malacalcyonacea; Plexauridae
Source: the annotation of a GenBank genome assembly